Ribosomal RNA from Lepisosteus oculatus (spotted gar), 119 nucleotides. Lineage: Eukaryota; Metazoa; Chordata; Actinopteri; Semionotiformes; Lepisosteidae. The record is from Ensembl.
GCCAGCAGCCAUAUCACUCUGCAACUCACAACUAGCAACCCACUGAAGCUAAGCAGGUGUGAGCCUGGUCAGUACCAGGAUGGGAGACCUCCUGGGAAAAACUAAGGUUGCUGCUGGAA